This 513-nucleotide ribosomal RNA is filed under the name Ganoderma lucidum. Its description in RNAcentral is "SSU rRNA". It matches the Rfam family "Bacterial small subunit ribosomal RNA", at positions 385 to 944 of the family's 1533-position model. The record is from RNAcentral. Lineage: Eukaryota; Fungi; Basidiomycota; Agaricomycetes; Polyporales; Polyporaceae.
GAGUNAACUAGCUACCUGAAAUCAUAGAAUUUUUUCAAAUUCGUGAUGUCGUAAGGGAAAAUAAUGAUAAUACCUUACUAUGAGUGUCGCCCAAAUCUGGUGCCAGAAGACUCGGUAAGACCAGAGACGCAAACGUUAAUCAUCAUAAACAGGCGUAAAGGGUUUGUAGGCAGCUUUUAUAAGAUAGUCAAAAAUCUAAAUUGAAAGCUAGAAUCAAAAAGAGGUUAUAGUGUAUAACGCCUAGAGGAGGGCUGAUAUCCAUAGAUCCUAGGCAGAAUACUCAGGGCGAAGGCCACUCUCCACUAAUGAUUGACGCUGAGAAACGAAGGUUAGGGUAGGAAAUAGGAUUAGAUACCCCGGUACUCCUUUCUGUAAACGAUGAAUGGUAGUCAUUAGUUUUAAUAAAUAACUAGAGGCGAAGUUAACACAAUAACCAUUCCGCCUUGUGAGUACUACUGCAAAGUAGAAAACCAAAAAAUUAGUCGGUGCUCGAAGCANNNCGGANNNAAGCAU